RNAcentral lists this transfer RNA (64 nucleotides) under Blastophaga silvestriana. RNAcentral describes it as "tRNA-Leu". The record is from RNAcentral. Lineage: Eukaryota; Metazoa; Arthropoda; Insecta; Hymenoptera; Agaonidae.
UCUAAUAUGGCAGAAUAGUGUAAUAAAUUUAAGCUUUAUAUAUGUAAAUAAUUUACUAUUAGAA